UAUUAUUGAAACAUUUAUAUAGUGUGUAUUAUUUUCCUUGUAUUAGUCGUAUACAUUUUCCAGUAGAGUAAUAAAAUACAAUAAAUAUAUUUUUCAAUGCAUACUUAAUCUCUUUUUUUUUUCUAAAUAAAUAAGUAUAACAAAAAUGUUUGCAAAUAUUUCUCUUUGUCAAUGCAAGAGUAUAUCGUGGUCUUGUGGGCAUGGACCAUAUACAAUGCUUUAAGAGAAUACUUCGUGUGUAAUUUGACCAUAUUUUGCUUCAAUGUCAUAUAGUAAAAUAAUGUUCUUAAAACUUCACGUAAAGAAGAUAAAAUGAAAAAUAUUCAUUAUGUUAUAAACAUUAAAAAAUUUAUAUCUUUAAAUAUACCAAUAUAAAAUUGAAUUUACUUUUAAAAGGAUUGGGUAACAUGGAGGACAUUUUUAGACAAGGAGGCGAGUAGGAAUUAGGUACUACCUACUCCUUUGGACCCAUUGUAAAGUCACUUUCACACUCUAAGUUAGAAAAAUAAAUGAGAUAGUAAAUGUGCAAUAAUAAAUCAUGCAUACAUUUGAAUUGUCACAUAUUUUAUAUUAUUCUUAGUGGACUUUUACAUGCAUACCUUUAGGAUUAACUUAUGUCUCCCUUAAUCUCAACUUAGUCAUUUACUAUGGAUAUUGAUUUAAAUGUUUGUUAAGGGUAAUUGGGAUGUUAAUUAUUAGGCUUGUUUUAGGUUGAUUUUAGUAUGUCCGGACAAUUUUAAGUUUUUAUUUGUGUAUAACUAUGGUAGUUUGAGAUGUGCACGGAUCAUUGUUCAUUGUGAGUACGAGAUGAUCAUAUACAUGUGUUGGUUUGAGACGUCUCUAAGUUAAUAUUUUUACACUCUUCCCAAAAAAAAUUGGAUGAGGGUAUAUAUGAUAAAAAGUCUUUAAAAGAAAAAUUUAUUUCUUUGUCUGAUAUCAUGUUACAUGUAUACCGUACACUAGCCUCCAACUCAAGUGGAUGUAAGUGACAGAGUUUAGAACCUUUCUUAGAGGUUCUUGGAAACUGUGCACAUUUAAUGAUGAUUGUGGUGUUCGGGAGAUGAAAGGUUGUGUCCUUGUGACCUUUAGAUUGAAACGAUAAAACAAUUGGGGAUUUUCGAGGUCAGGGACUUUUAUGAAUGAACAUAUGUAUCCAUAUGACACCGAGUUAAUCAGUAAGUAUAGCUCGGAUGGUAAUAGUGGAAGAAUUGAUAUUUUUUUUCUCUAUCCAUGAGGAAUCUGGUGCCAAUGUUUAUACAGAGAUAAUGGGGAUGUGAUCUCACAAAACUUGGUCAUGACAAAGUUGAGGAAUGAACCAACGAUUACUUGCCCCUAAAAAGAGGCCGUGAGUGGACAUGUCCUAAUGUGAAGGAGUAUUUUUUUUAACUAUCAUUAGUCUUCUGUUGAUAACAAUCAUAUAAGCAAAUGAAACAAUUAACAUAUGAAACAUAGACUUUGAAGUAAAGUUGAAUCUCAUCAUUUGUUUUAAAUCAUGAAAGUUCAUGAGAAACUUGAGCCAAUGAUUUCAACAAGAAGUUCACAAGAAGAAAAAAAAACAAUUAUGGAAUGAAAAAACUAAGAACAAGAAAUUUAAUAGAGUAGAUGAUGAUUAACAUCAUAACAACAUAAAGACAAUAAUUGGUAGAAUUAAAAGAUAUAAAGGAAUCACAAAUAUAAGACAAAAUAUGAAUAAGAACAAUUUAAGAACAAGACAUCAAAUAAAAAGAGAAAAUGGAUAGGAGACCUAGGAGAUGAAAGAAAUUACGUGAGACUUGAAAAGCUAUUCUUCUCAAAGGUAAGCAUCAUAGACGAAUUGCCCUUUAAGAAUUUCUCUAAUUCUUAAAAACUUAAAAAGUAUUUUGUACACUGAAUGGGGUGACAUAAGAUAAGUCCCUCUAUGUGCAUGCAUAAGAUCCUAUUAGAGUAAGAGACAACCACAAAGGAGGUUGAAUCCUCUAAUUUUGAAUGUGGUUAAUGAUUUAAAUAAGGAUGAAGAAAAGCUUAUUGAAGAAAGAGAAGAGGAGCUAAAAUGUAAAUAC
This 2039-nucleotide long non-coding RNA is filed under the name Phaseolus vulgaris (common bean). RNAcentral describes it as "long non-coding RNA (PVUL_LNC003818)". Lineage: Eukaryota; Viridiplantae; Streptophyta; Magnoliopsida; Fabales; Fabaceae. The record is from RNAcentral.